RNAcentral lists this transfer RNA (65 nucleotides) under Serratella sp. Yunnan-2018. Its description in RNAcentral is "tRNA-His". The record is from RNAcentral. Lineage: Eukaryota; Metazoa; Arthropoda; Insecta; Ephemeroptera; Ephemerellidae.
AUUUAAAUAGUUUAAUAAAAAUUUUGAUCUGUGGCGUCAAGGAUAUACAAUAAGUAUUUUAGAUA